Long non-coding RNA from Bufo gargarizans (Asiatic toad), 287 nucleotides. RefSeq lists it as uncharacterized. Lineage: Eukaryota; Metazoa; Chordata; Amphibia; Anura; Bufonidae. The record is from RefSeq and is a predicted model, not a curated record. The transcript is spliced from 3 exons.
GGCAGAGAGUAUAAUAAAUCUCACCCUAGAGAUCCUCCUCUGGCUUACUGGAGAGGAAUACACAGUAAUGAAGAAGACCUCUAGGGAGCAUUGUCAGGCCCCGGUAUCUGAAGGACGAGGAGGAAUCCUGAGCCCAAUAUCCAGGCCAACACCUCACAUCCCGAUACAUGAGAACAUCAACAGAGAGAAGAUCCUAGAGCUCACCAACAAGAUCAUUGAGCUGCUGACUGGAGAGGUUCCUAUAAGGUGUCAGGAUGUCGCCGUCUAUUUCUCCAUGGAGGAGUCUG